CCUACGGGAGGCAGCAGUGAGGAAUAUUGGUCAAUGGGCGCUAGCCUGAACCAGCCAAGUAGCGUGAAGGAUGACUGCCCUAUGGGUUGUAAACUUCUUUUAUAUGGGAAUAAAGUGCAGUAUGUAUACUGCUUUGCAUGUACCUUAUGAAUAAGGAUCGGCUAACUCCGUGCCAGCAGCCGCGGUAAUACGGAGGAUCCGAGCGUUAUCCGGAUUUAUUGGGGUUAAAGGGAGCGUAGGCGGGUUGUUAAGUCAGUUGUGAAAGUUUGCGGUUCAACCGUAAAAUUGAAGUUGAUACUGGCAGCCUUGAGUACAGUAGAGGUAGGCGGAAUUCGUGGUGUAGCGGUGAAAUGCUUAGAUAUCACGAAGAACGCCGAUUGCGAAGGCAGCCUGCUGGACUGUAACUGACGCUGAUGCUCGAAAGUGUGGGUAUCAAACAGGAUUAGAUACCCGGGUAGUC
This 460-nucleotide ribosomal RNA is filed under the name uncultured bacterium. Its description in RNAcentral is "partial 16S ribosomal RNA". It matches the Rfam family "Bacterial small subunit ribosomal RNA", at positions 338 to 795 of the family's 1533-position model. The record is from RNAcentral.